Molecule: long non-coding RNA, 2189 nt
Filed under: Strongylocentrotus purpuratus (purple sea urchin)
Lineage: Eukaryota; Metazoa; Echinodermata; Echinoidea; Camarodonta; Strongylocentrotidae
Description: serine/threonine-protein kinase 25, transcript variant X3
Source: RNAcentral
UCAUUCUGAGCCAUGAUUGAAAGUCAGGAAUAGACAGGGCUGCUCUGUCUCUCGGUUGAAUGAUUUGCUGCUGAUUUUCUGACAGAUUUACCCAGUGUGUGCCUGCAUAUUCUUGGCCUUUGUCGACUUGGCCAGGGCCAGGGAUAAAUCCACUGUGUUUGUGUAUAGGUUUUGGAAACCACUUGUAGCAAGUUACUUUGGUUAGGGUAUGUGAUUUGCAGUGAGCAGAGAGGAUUUGAAAAGGAAUAAUAUGUGAAAAGAGUAAUUGUUUGGGACUAUUGAUUGUUGACGACCAGGAUUUUGUCUCUCAACUCCCCCUUUUCAAAAGUUUUCUUGAAAGUGUUAUAGAGAAGAGGGAUUUUCUCAUACACUGUAGUUCUGCCCUAGAUAAGCACCAAACUCCUUGCAUAAACUUGCAUAGCUUCAUACAGGGUGGAUCCUACUAGCUGACUGUUCAUGUCCUGUUACAUGUUUUUGGCGUUGAUGAUUUGAUUGUUGACAGAGCGUCAAAACUGUGAUUCUUGUUGCUCUGAAUCAGUGGCGCAUGGAGUUUUACUCAUGAUCUUGGAUUUAAUAUUCUUUGGAUAUACUCAAAACCUUGGAUUUAAUGUGAAUCCUGAUUGCCUUGAUGAGUUAUGUUGUGAUGAGGAUAGUGCAAUAACAGACAGACAACUGUAUUCAGGAUCAGUUUGAUAGAACUUUUGUGCAAUAUUGCACAUGUAGAUCUGUACAUGUACAUGUUACGUUCAUGUCUAUGGAUUUCACUUGUUCUCAGCAAGUUUAUAAUAUGAAGGAUGUCAAACUUUUUAUAGCAGUUUGAUAGACCUUACUUAGAGUUCACUUCUCUGUAGUCGUGGUUAAAUUUGUGAAUUUCGAUGCACAAGCGUUACAGCGCCCUCUGUUGUUCAGUGGGCAUUGAUUCGUUGCGGAUCAAGGAGAAUGAGAAACCAUCUAAUACACUGCCGUGGGAUCGCAAUGGCCAUUCAAAAUCAAGGCAACAGAAUAUGAAGGCGGACCCAGAGAAGCUCUACACGAAGCUAGAGCGUAUCGGCAAGGGUUCCUUCGGCGAGGUCUACAAGGGCAUAGACAACAUCUGCAAGGAGAUCGUAGCCAUCAAGAUCAUCGAUCUAGAGGAGGCUGAAGAUGAGAUUGAAGACAUUCAGCAAGAGAUCACCGUCCUCAGUCAAUGUGAUUCGAUUUAUGUCACAAAGUACCAUGGCUCAUACCUCAAGGGCACCAAGUUAUGGAUCAUCAUGGAGUACCUGGGAGGAGGGUCCGCCUUAGAUCUUCUCAAGUCAGGUGCAAUGGAUGAGAUCUACAUUGCAACCAUCCUACGUGAAGUCAUCAAGGGAUUAGAUUAUCUGCACUGUGAGAGGAAGAUACAUAGAGAUAUCAAAGCUGCAAAUGUAUUACUGUCUGAGAAUGGCGAUGUCAAACUGGCUGACUUUGGUGUAGCCGGUCAACUCACAGAGACACAGAUAAAGAGAAAUACGUUCGUUGGUACACCGUUCUGGAUGGCUCCUGAAGUCAUUAAACAGUCAGCUUACGACUCAAAGGCUGACAUGUGGUCCUUAGGCAUCACAGCUAUCGAGCUGGCUAAAGGGGAACCCCCUAACUCUGAUCUUCACCCCAUGAGAGUCCUCUUCCUCAUCCCAAAGAACAACCCACCCAAGCUAGAAGGCAGCUAUACCAAGAACUUCAAGGACUUUGUAGAAGUCUGUUUAAACAAAGACCCACGGCAUCGGCCGACAGCCAAGGAGCUACUAAAACACCGCUUCAUCAAGCAAGCAAAGAGAACCUCCUACCUGACAGAGCUGAUUGAGCGUUAUAAGAGGUGGAAGGCAGAGGGUAACGACUCGCCGGACUCAGACCCAGAGGAUAAUGAAUUCCCUAAUGAGUCGCUUCAGAAUAACUUGCCUGAUUUUGACUACGGGAACACGAUCAGGGGACCACAGUACAUUCCUGAGCCUCCUCAUCCUGAACCAGUUGAAUCUAUCCCUAGAAGACAACCUAAAUCAGAGUGCAUUCAGUCCCUCCUUGGUCCUAUACUCAGAGAUCUCAAGCGCAAGAAUGAGGGUUUAUCCGGUGCCAUCGAUGAGCUUCAGAACAGCUUUGAUAUGGCAGAAGAGUCGAGUCCAGGAAUCUGUGAUAGAUUAGUCAGUCAGGUUGUCUCUAGAGUAGAAAGGUAA